Long non-coding RNA from Pezoporus occidentalis (night parrot), 1771 nucleotides. RefSeq lists it as uncharacterized. Lineage: Eukaryota; Metazoa; Chordata; Aves; Psittaciformes; Psittacidae. The transcript is spliced from 2 exons. The record is from RefSeq and is a predicted model, not a curated record.
AUUCUGUAUGGUGGAGAUGUUAGACUUUGGUACACAUUUAGUUGGGUGGAAGAGCAGCUGGGUCAAAGACUUGGUAUUUUGAAUGUCUUUUUGUGUGUAUUUUUGAUGAAGAACUCUAGGCACGUCUGAUAUAGGACUUCAGAUAUAAAAGCAACUGACACUGCUAACAAAGAAAAGGAAUAUGAGUGAGCUGGUUUGAAUAAUUUUUUUUCAGAAAGGUAAAAUCCUGGGUCCUCAAAACCUCUUUUAGUUAGGAGUUAAGGGAAGAAAUACAUUGCAUAGCCUUCUCUGAUCAGGGAAAGCUAGAAGGACAAUUGGUGUUCCUUUGAAAUGUGUUUUAUGCCUUUCUGUUUUCUAAGCAGCCAUAGACUUCAGUUUUGGUAUUUCAAAGACACUGUUACUCAGUAAUAUAUAAACUUUUUAGGUGAUGAGGAGAUGAACAGUUCUGAUUGUUUUCUAGAAGACAUCCGUUGGUAUGAUGGUCAGUGAAAUUUAUAUUCAGAGACCUUUUAGAUCAGUGAAGGAAGUGAAUUUGAAUGUUAAGUAAGUGAUAUCUGUGAGAAUUAGUGUGUGGGAGAGGGUAGGUAAUAACAGAUGACACCAACUAAGUGUGCUAGGCUGCAGUUAAAAUUUGAAGAUUCAAAAUACAAAAGUUCCAAAGGUUUGGAAAUGGUUUUGUGAUGCCAGGUUGUUGUAGCUAGUUGAGGGACCAAACUAAUUUGAACUUCAGGUAGGGGACAUUAAAAUAGUACUUGUUUCAUUGCUAGUCAUUUGUUUUCCAGGCCAGCAAAAGUAAUUCUUUAUACAAAGGAAAAUAGCACUGGUUGUGCUUUUCUGUUAAUAUUUCUGAAAAACCUCUGAGAUGGUUAUUUAGUGGGUGUGACAAAUGAGUCCUUAGGUCAGUUUGCAGUGGUAAUGGCAAACUUAGUCAAAUUGAGCUGCAAAAGUGCUAAACCAAAACUGAACUGCUUUGGAUAUCGAUUUAGAAGUCCGUACUAAAAAUACACUUUUGAAACGGUCUUGGUGUCUAAGUAAAUAUGAAUAGAUGCCCUUUGCAAGUAAAGACAAGCAGCUAAAUUCAUUCUUAAGCCACCACUCUUCUGUUUUUUACUACAGGUUCUGUGGAAUGGUUCAUUUUCAAAUGUUUCAGAGCCACAGAAGUCAACAGACUGCUGUUAUGUUCUGCUUGUUAUUGAUUGCAUUUGCUUUAGUUUUAGCUACAGUGUAAUUUCUUGCAAGGAAUGGAUUGGUGAAGAAGGUGGUGUUGAAUCAUUUUGCCAGUGCAAGAGCCUAUGUUUAAUCAGAAGAAUGAUUUGCUUGUAAAUUAGUUUUGAACAAAACAGAUUUUAAGGAGAAGAAUAAGAAAGACCUGUCUUUUCCUUACUUUAAUAGCAGUUGAAGUCUUCAUAGAGUGGGAGACGCGAAGUACAUAUAACAAAUAAUUAGGAAAAUAUUGAUGAUAGUUUGAUCUGUUUGAAACUUCUCAUCUAGUACCAUGAAAAACUUUUUUUUUUUUUUUUGCUUACAGUGUUUUCUGUACAUGCUCUAGAAUCUGAAGUUCUGUUAGCUUGUAAAUAAAUAAUAAAAACCUGCUAAAUAUACUAAGUAAUGUACUACAUAAUGUUAAGCUCCUUCGAUGUCUCCUUAAGGCUUUUGAAUAAGCUGAAUGUAGGUAAAAGCUAUCUGGUAUUCUGUGUACUAUUGCCAAUACUUGGCCUUGUAGUUCUUUACCGUUUAAUUUUUCCUCAUUAAAUAGUUUGCCAGAACACAC